Molecule: small nucleolar RNA, 135 nt
Organism: Suncus etruscus (white-toothed pygmy shrew)
Lineage: Eukaryota; Metazoa; Chordata; Mammalia; Eulipotyphla; Soricidae
Product: small nucleolar RNA SNORA51
Exons: 1
Source: RefSeq, a predicted model, not a curated record
GACCAUAUAUAUUUCUUCCCACAGGUUGUGUUCUUUACACUGACUGUAUAGAAAGAGGUGGUACAGUAAAUGCACCCCAUAUACACCCCAGCACAGGCCCUUUGCCAGGUCUGUAUUGUGAAUUGGGGGACAAAA